This 468-nucleotide ribosomal RNA is filed under the name uncultured bacterium. RNAcentral describes it as "partial 16S ribosomal RNA". It matches the Rfam family "Bacterial small subunit ribosomal RNA", at positions 28 to 507 of the family's 1533-position model. The record is from RNAcentral.
GACGAACGCUGGCGGCGUGCCUAAUACAUGCAAGUCGAACGGAAAGACCCGGCGCUUGCGGCGUUCUCGUGUGCCGAACGGGGGUGUGACACGCGAGUAACCUGCCCCUGUCUUUGUGAUAUCACCACGGAACAGGGGCUCAUAUCGGAUAGGAUAUCCUGCUGCGCAUGGGUGGUUGGAAAGAUUCGGCGGUUGGGGAUGGACUCGCAGGUUAUCCGCUUGUUGGUGUGGUAGUGGCUUACCAGGGCUUUGACGGGUAGCCGGCCUGAGCGGGGGAACGGCCACAAUGGGACUAAGAUACGGACCAGACGCCUACGGGAGGCAGCAGUGGGAAGUCUUGCACAAUGGGCGGAAGCCUGAUGCAGCAACGCCGCGUGCGGGAUGACGUCCUUCGGGUUGUAAACAGCUUUCGCCUGUGACGAGGCGGGAGUGACGGUAAUGGGUAAAGAAGCACCGGCUAACUACGUG